RNAcentral lists this ribosomal RNA (253 nucleotides) under uncultured bacterium. RNAcentral's name for it is "partial 16S ribosomal RNA". It matches the Rfam family "Bacterial small subunit ribosomal RNA", at positions 524 to 776 of the family's 1533-position model. The record is from RNAcentral.
UACGGGGGGGGCAAGCGUUGUUCGGAAUUACUGGGCGUAAAGGGCUCGUAGGCGGCCAACUAAGUCAGACGUGAAAUCCCUCGGCUUAACCGGGGAACUGCGUCUGAUACUGGAUGGCUUGAGUUUGGGAGAGGGAUGCGGAAUUCCAGGUGUAGCGGUGAAAUGCGUAGAUAUCUGGAGGAACACCGGUGGCGAAGGCGGCAUCCUGGACCAACACUGACGCUGAGGAGCGAAAGCGUGGGGAGCAAACGGG